CUAGAUAUAUACAAUACAUGACAGUCAAUUUUUUCGAGAGUUUGAUCCUGGCUCAGGAUGAACGCUGGCUGUGUGCCUAAUACAUGCAUGUCGAGCGGAGUUCUUCGGAACU
This 112-nucleotide ribosomal RNA is filed under the name Mycoplasmopsis gallopavonis. RNAcentral's name for it is "Mycoplasma gallopavonis partial 16S ribosomal RNA". The stretch from base 30 to 112 matches the Rfam family "Bacterial small subunit ribosomal RNA", at positions 1 to 87 of the family's 1533-position model. The record is from RNAcentral. Lineage: Bacteria; Bacillati; Mycoplasmatota; Mycoplasmoidales; Metamycoplasmataceae.